Molecule: long non-coding RNA, 1290 nt
Organism: Labrus mixtus (cuckoo wrasse)
Lineage: Eukaryota; Metazoa; Chordata; Actinopteri; Labriformes; Labridae
Exons: 3
Source: RefSeq, a predicted model, not a curated record
GGUGACGUCAUCAUUGUCUCACGUUUAGCAGCUUUACUUUUGUCUCCAAAAAGUUUGUAACCUUACAAACCGAUCUAUGUAGCCAUUUACCCACGACCUAUAGUUGUCAUGGUAACAGUUGAAUAAACAAACUGGACAACGGGCUGCAGACACUCAGGCUCCAUCAAAAUCUGGUAAUAUUACUGUACCUUUUGAGUCUGCGUGGUUCCUCAUCUUCUCACAGCGUCUCUGCCGGCUUCCUCACCCUUUGUUUGUCAACAAAUGCACGUGGUGUCAGAGGGGGAGGCGUGACCGUUUUUAUGACACUGCAGUUGCACUCAGAGACCUCCAGAUGGCGCCAAAGCGCACCAAAACUGACAACAUCAAUGCUCUCAAGUCUCACGCAUUGGGAGUGAGAGACACACAUUUCAACUUGUUCACACGCUCACACGCCACACCUUGUAUUUCUCACACAUAAAUUACCAGGAUAACGCCCACCAAGUUGCGCCGCUAUUUUUUUUAACAAUGGAACAGAUAGGAAUCAAGGGGGUUUCCCAUAGAGAUCAGAAGGAGCUUGCCACGCACCAGCUAAUCAAAAAAUAUAUAUAUAUAGCUACCCCAACAGCCAAUCAAUAAAUAGCAUUGCUGUAUCCGGGUAAGAUUUAGAUAUUCCUGCUACAACAACGCUACAUUCUGGUUACAAAGAAGACGCCAAUGACAUUUUGAUUCAGACGCUCGCUGAAGUACAGACUGAUCGACGUGGGACAGGACCGUUAUAUUUACAGUCUAUGGAGAAGAGGACCAUAUCAUAUUAUUACAAUUUCAGGAACUACUUCCUUUCCAUGGGCCACAGGAACAGGACAAGGUGAGUGAGGAGUUCCUGGAGUAUCAACUCAUGGAGAUCCCCAUGCCCCAAGAUCCCACCACCUUUAAUGUUGAGGAGUUUUGGGGGAGCAUGUCCUCAGCCAAGAGCAAGGUGACCGGUUUGAGCCAGUUUGGGAGGCUAUCUAAGAUAGCAGCAUUAGUUUUAGUGCUCCCACACUCAAAUGCGGAUGCAGAGAGGGUUUUCUCCAUGGUCGGCCUAAACAAGACCAAAACAAGAAACAGCUUGGCACUGAAUGGAACACUUUCGCCAAUCAUGACAGUCAAAAUGGCUGGCCUGGAACCACAGUGUUUCAAAUGGGAGCCACCAAACCCUGUGCUGAAGGCCUCAAAACCUGCCACUAACACCUACAAUAAACAACACUAACCAUAAUCACACAAACACACACACACACACUCACACUUGAGAGCCCUGCAACAUAUUGAGGC